RNAcentral lists this ribosomal RNA (492 nucleotides) under uncultured bacterium. RNAcentral's name for it is "partial 16S ribosomal RNA". It matches the Rfam family "Bacterial small subunit ribosomal RNA", at positions 29 to 507 of the family's 1533-position model. The record is from RNAcentral.
AGUGAACGCUGGCGGUAGGCCUAACACAUGCAAGUCGAACGGCAGCACAGUAAGAGCUUGCUCUUACGGGUGGCGAGUGGCGGACGUGUGAGGAAUACAUCGGAAUCUACUUUUUCGUGGGGGAUAACGUAGGUAAACUUACGCUAAUACCGCAUACGACCUACGGGUGAAAGCAGGGGAUCUUCGGACCUUGCGCGAUUGAAUGAGCCGCUGUCGGAUUAGCUAGUUGGCGGGGUAAAGGCCCACCAAGGCGACGAUCCGUAGCCGGUCUGAGAGGAUGAUCAGCCACACUGGAACUGAGACACGGUCCAGACUCCUAAGGGAGGCAGCAGUCGGGAAUAUUGGACAAUGGGCGCAAGCAUGAUCCAGCCAUACCGCGUGGGUGAAGAAGGCCUUCGGGUUGUAAAGCCCUUUUGUUGGGAAAGAACAGCAGCAGGUUAAUACCCCGCUGUUCUGACGGUACCCAAAGAAUAAGCACCGGCUAACUUCGUG